GGGGCUAUGAUGACAAACUGAAGUCAUGAAAUAAGAUGGUGACAUAAAAAUCAUGUUCCAAAGAAUGAUACUGAGGCCU
Small nucleolar RNA from Peromyscus eremicus (cactus mouse), 79 nucleotides. RefSeq annotates it as small nucleolar RNA SNORD115. NCBI's taxonomy places the organism in Eukaryota, Metazoa, Chordata, Mammalia, Rodentia, Cricetidae. The record is from RefSeq and is a predicted model, not a curated record. The transcript has a single exon.